RNAcentral lists this ribosomal RNA (145 nucleotides) under uncultured eukaryote. Its description in RNAcentral is "partial 18S ribosomal RNA". It matches the Rfam family "Eukaryotic small subunit ribosomal RNA", at positions 1299 to 1458 of the family's 1831-position model. The record is from RNAcentral.
UGGUGGAGUGAUUUGUCUGGUUAAUUCCGUUAACGAACGAGACCUCAGCCUGCUAAAUAGCCGGGCGGACCCUUCCGGGUCCGGCUCCCCGGUCUUCUUAGAGGGACUUUUGGUGUUUAGCCAAAGGAAGUUUGAGGCAAUAACA